GUGUGACUGCGUACCUUUUGUAUAAUGGGUCAGCGACUUAUAUUCUGUAGCAAGGUUAACCGAAUAGGGGAGCCGAAGGGAAACCGAGUCUUAACUGGGCGUUAAGUUGCAGGGUAUAGACCCGAAACCCGGUGAUCUAGCCAUGGGCAGGUUGAAGGUUGGGUAACACUAACUGGAGGACCGAACCGACUAAUGUUGAAAAAUUAGCGGAUGACUUGUGGCUGGGGGUGAAAGGCCAAUCAAACCGGGAGAUAGCUGGUUCUCCCCGAAAGCUAUUUAGGUAGCGCCUCGUGAAUUCAUCUCCGGGGGUAGAGCACUGUUUCGGCAAGGGGGUCAUCCCGACUUACCAACCCGAUGCAAACUGCGAAUACCGGAGAAUGUUAUCACGGGAGACACACGGCGGGUGCUAACGUCCGUCGUGAAGAGGGAAACAACCCAGACCGCCAGCUAAGGUCCCAAAGUCAUGGUUAAGUGGGAAACGAUGUGGGAAGGCCCAGACAGCCAGGAUGUUGGCUUAGAAGCAGCCAUCAUUUAAAGAAAGCGUAAUAGCUCACUGGUCGAGUCGGCCUGCGCGGAAGAUGUAACGGGGCUAAACCAUGCACCGAAGCUGCGGCAGCGACGCUUAUGCGUUGUUGGGUAGGGGAGCGUUCUGUAAGCCUGUGAAGGUGUACUGUGAGGUAUGCUGGAGGUAUCAGAAGUGCGAAUGCUGACAUAAGUAACGAUAAAGCGGGUGAAAAGCCCGCUCGCCGGAAGACCAAGGGUUCCUGUCCAACGUUAAUCGGGGCAGGGUGAGUCGACCCCUAAGGCGAGGCCGAAAGGCGUAGUCGAUGGGAAACAGGUUAAUAUUCCUGUACUUGGUGUUACUGCGAAGGGGGGACGGAGAAGGCUAUGUUGGCCGGGCGACGGUUGUCCCGGUUUAAGCGUGUAGGCUGGUUUUCCAGGCAAAUCCGGAAAAUCAAGGCUGAGGCGUGAUGACGAGGCACUACGGUGCUGAAGCAACAAAUGCCCUGCUUCCAGGAAAAGCCUCUAAGCAUCAGGUAACAUCAAAUCGUACCCCAAACCGACACAGGUGGUCAGGUAGAGAAUACCAAGGCGCUUGAGAGAACUCGGGUGAAGGAACUAGGCAAAAUGGUGCCGUAACUUCGGGAGAAGGCACGCUGAUAUGUAGGUGAAGUCCCUCGCGGAUGGAGCUGAAAUCAGUCGAAGAUACCAGCUGGCUGCAACUGUUUAUUAAAAACACAGCACUGUGCAAACACGAAAGUGGACGUAUACGGUGUGACGCCUGCCCGGUGCCGGAAGGUUAAUUGAUGGGGU
RNAcentral lists this ribosomal RNA (1314 nucleotides) under Escherichia coli. RNAcentral's name for it is "partial 23S ribosomal RNA". It matches the Rfam family "Bacterial large subunit ribosomal RNA", at positions 591 to 1890 of the family's 2925-position model. The record is from RNAcentral. Lineage: Bacteria; Pseudomonadati; Pseudomonadota; Gammaproteobacteria; Enterobacterales; Enterobacteriaceae.